Molecule: long non-coding RNA, 772 nt
Organism: Xyrauchen texanus (razorback sucker)
Lineage: Eukaryota; Metazoa; Chordata; Actinopteri; Cypriniformes; Catostomidae
Exons: 3
Source: RefSeq, a predicted model, not a curated record
CGCCACGUUAGCGAAUACUCUCCCCCAACAACUUUUGGGCCAGUUAUGUAAAAUCCCGGGCCGAUUUCUCUUUCCAGUCCAGCCCUGACAAGGAGCACAUGGAUAUUGUUGAAGUUAAACAAGGUUGAACACAUUUGCCUCAAGUUCCUUGAAUGCAGAACCACCAUGGAGAUCCAGAACCUUUGUGGGGACAGAGAUGGGCCUUGUGAGUGUGUGCUGUUGAAGAAAUCUCUCAGCUGUCUUGCAGACUUUCAGGACGCUGUCUGACGGUCUUAUAAAUCCACCUCAGGACUUCAUGUCGAUCAGUGUGUUCAUCUUGGGAAGAGCUCUCGACACUGAGUGCUGAUAAACAGGCUGAACGUCACUGCCUGAAAUGCAUAUCAGAAGAUGUUGCCUCCAGUGUCACUGUGAUAUCCGGUGGAGAACUGUUGCCACUAGCUCUGAUGGCAUGUCUUGCUACCAUUCUUUUGAAAGCUGAAUAAUGUGGGAUUGUUGUUAAAUCCAUUAGCAGAUUUGUUCCCACAUAUCUGCAAAUUUUUAUUGUAUUGUUCAGUUUAAGUCCAUUUUUGUAUGUACUUGGAAGUUUUGUUAUUGAACAAAUAAAUAUGUAUGAUUUCCUUGAGUGUGCAUAUGUCAAUAAACUUAUUUCUAAUUAUGAUUUAAAAGAUCAGGGGAUUGUUGAAAUAAUUAAAUGCUCACAAGCUGGUAUGUACAUAUUCCAGAAAUGAAUGCAAAUGGAUAAUUCCAUUAAGUAAAAGUAAAUUAAUUUAUG